AUCUGAGGGUCAUAAGCAUGAUGACUGGGUUUCUGUACCACUGUGUGAGAUUUGCCUCCCUCAAAUCCUCUUAAAACACAUUAUGCAUCUAACA
This 94-nucleotide small nucleolar RNA is filed under the name Fukomys damarensis (Damara mole-rat). Its description in RNAcentral is "Small nucleolar RNA U13". It matches the Rfam family "Small nucleolar RNA U13". Lineage: Eukaryota; Metazoa; Chordata; Mammalia; Rodentia; Bathyergidae. The record is from Rfam by way of RNAcentral.